Molecule: ribosomal RNA, 255 nt
Filed under: Clostridioides difficile
Lineage: Bacteria; Bacillati; Bacillota; Clostridia; Peptostreptococcales; Peptostreptococcaceae
Description: partial 23S ribosomal RNA
Rfam family: Bacterial large subunit ribosomal RNA
Source: RNAcentral
GACGUAGACCCGAAACCGGGCGACCGACCCAUGAGCAGGAUGAAGCGAAAGUAAAAGUUCGUGGAGGUCCGAACCCACGAGCGUUGAAAAGCUCGGGGAUGACUUGUGGGUAGCGGUGAAAUUCCAAGCGAGCCCGGAGAUAGCUGGUUCUCCCCGAAAUAGCUUUAGGGCUAGCCUCAAGGUGAGAGAUACGGAGGUAGAGCACUGAAUGUCCUAGGGGGUAUUGCACCUACCGAAGACUAUCAAACUCCGAAU